Mustela putorius furo (domestic ferret) is the source of this 296-nucleotide unclassified non-coding RNA. Its record names the gene 7SK. It matches the Rfam family "7SK RNA". Rfam says of the family: 7SK was discovered as an abundant small nuclear RNA in the mid-70s but a possible function has only recently been suggested. Two independent studies have found that 7SK RNA binds the CDK9/cyclin T complex (known as elongation factor P-TEFb). NCBI's taxonomy places the organism in Eukaryota, Metazoa, Chordata, Mammalia, Carnivora, Mustelidae. The record is from Ensembl.
GAAUGUGAGGCUGAUCUUACUGCACCAUCCCUACUUUGAUCUCCAGGGUUGUUUUGGCUGAUCUGGCUGGCUAGGCAAUUGUCCCUUUCCCCACUCACCAUUCCAUGUGUGUCCUUCCCAAAGCUGCACACUUGGUUGAGGAGGAUGACCUACCCCAAUAGACGAGGUUCAUUCUUCUGUCAAGGGUAAAUGAGGUGCUGCAUUCCUUCUUAGAAUUUCCAAAUGGACUCUUAAAAUUUGGGCAGGAUAUUUGAAUAAACAUUUUUCCAAAAUAAUUUCAGAUGAACAAUGAGUGU